This 1384-nucleotide long non-coding RNA is filed under the name Phascolarctos cinereus (koala). Its description in RNAcentral is "lncRNA (ENSPCIG00000018811.2)". Lineage: Eukaryota; Metazoa; Chordata; Mammalia; Diprotodontia; Phascolarctidae. The record is from RNAcentral.
CAGAUCAUCUUCAUUGACUUUUCUGUUUGUAUUUGCCUUUUAGCUGGACCUAAGGAAUCCAACGAGCUCCCUCAGAAGACAAACAAAUUCUGUUACUUGGCUAAAAAUACCCCAAAUACAAUCCACGGAGAUAUCUGGUUACAAGGAACAAUUGAAGAUGGCAUUGACUUAGGAGAAGAAAAAAUCUACUAUUUUGAAGAGGAAUGCUUCCAGGAAAAUGGGGGGGAAGCCAGCAAAAAUAAAACCAAGGAAAGAAAUGAAGUUCUCCUUGAAGAGGAAGAAAGGGAAGAUGGGAAGGCUAAAGUGGACAAGGAGAAGGAAACAGAACAAGAAAAGAGCAUGAUGUAUAAAAGAACAAAAAAUAGGAUGAAAGCAAGAAAUUGAAGGUCAAGGACAAAGGAGAAGACUUGUGGGGGGAGGGGGGAAGUUAGAGAAUAAGCAGAAAGGUAGGAAGGCUGAGAGAUGCCUGAAGAUGAAAAGUCAAAUCCAAGGACAUUUUUUUUUAAAGGAAGCUAAUGGGGGUAAGUUAAGGAAGAGAAAGUGACCCAAAUGAAAUGAUCAGUGUUACUACAAAAUUCUCACCUGUUUCCUGUCUGAGUCAUCAAUUAGGAUAAGAACAUUCUGUGAAUUUACUAACUUUCUACUACUCUGUGUGUAAUUUGAAAAAAGUCCUUCAGAGGUUUCAUCUUUUAGUUCUCUUGGUCACAAAUCUCGGGUUCCAAAUAUCUGUUUUAUAAGUUCAUGUUCAUAUUAUUCAGUCAGGAAGAAAUGAGGAUUUUCUGAAAUAGAGUAUUGAUUAAAGCAACUUAAAAUCAUUUCCUUGGAUUAGUCUAGUAUCUCUGUGGGAGCCUCUAUCAACCCAAAAGAUAUUAAUUAAUUAGCUGCUAUGAAUAAUAAUAAUAAUAAUAGCUUAGCAUUUAUGUAGUGUUUAUUACAGGGCAGUUAGGUGGUGCACUUGAUAGAGUGCUGGGCUUGGAAUCAGGCAGACUCAUCUUCCUGAGUUCAAAUCUGGCCUCAGACAUUUACUAGCUGUAUGACCCUGGGGAAGCCACUUAACCCUAUUCAAGUCAGUUUCUUCAUCUGUAAAAUGAGCUGGAAGAGGAAGUGGCAGACCGCUCUAGUAUCUUUGCCAUGAAAACCCCAAAUAUGGGAUCAUGAAAAGUUGACUGAACUUAAAUGCAUAAACACACCACACCUUUUCAGUGAAUGAGGCCAAUUCCCAGGUAUUUCCUCUAUGUACCUCUUCUGCCCUCCUGUGGCUGCCAGACCUCAAGGCCCUGACUUUUGUGCUGGAGAAAAAAAAAAAUCAUGCCGGAGUUUCUGCCACAAAAAAAAUUGGAGGAAUUCAGCAACUGAGAACCAGGGAAUGUCAGAGAUGAAAGGA